This 87-nucleotide transfer RNA is filed under the name Candidatus Aenigmatarchaeota archaeon. RNAcentral describes it as "tRNA-Phe". It matches the Rfam family "tRNA". Rfam says of the family: Transfer RNA (tRNA) molecules are approximately 80 nucleotides in length. Their secondary structure includes four short double-helical elements and three loops (D, anti-codon, and T loops). RNAcentral also lists the same sequence under 1 other name. Lineage: Archaea; Nanobdellati; Candidatus Aenigmatarchaeota. The record is from RNAcentral.
GGGACGGUAGCUCAGCCUGGGAGUUAAAAAACCAAAAGCGCACGGCUGAAGACCGUGCUGUCGUGGGUUCAAAUCCCACCCGUCCCA